AGAGUUUGAUCAUGGCUCAGGAUUAACGCUGGCGGUAUGCCUAACACAUGCAAGUCGAACGGAAUACUAAUUAAGAGAAUCUCACACUAGUGAGAGGUUCUCACGAGUAGUAUUUAGUGGCGACGGGUGAGUAACACGUUGGAACCUGCCCCGAAGUGGGGAAUAACUGCUCGAAAGAGUAGCUAAUACCCCAUAGUAUCCGGGUUUAUCCGGGAUUAAAGAUUUAUCGCUUCGGGAGGGGCCUGCGUCUGAUUAGCUAGUUGGUGAGGUAAAAGCUCACCAAGGCGACGAUCAGUAGCUGGUUCGAGAGGAUGACCAGCCACACUGGGACUGAGAUACGGCCCAGACUCCUACGGGAGGCAGCAGUGAGGAAUCUUCCACAAUGGGCGCAAGCCUGAUGGAGCAAUACCGCGUGCAGGAAGACGCUUUUCGGAGUGUAAACUGCUUUUGUCGUCGAAGAUUAUGACUGUAGACGAAGAAUAAGGACCGGCUAACUACGUG
This 501-nucleotide ribosomal RNA is filed under the name uncultured bacterium. RNAcentral describes it as "bacterial SSU rRNA". It matches the Rfam family "Bacterial small subunit ribosomal RNA", at positions 8 to 507 of the family's 1533-position model. The record is from RNAcentral.